Molecule: ribosomal RNA, 253 nt
Filed under: uncultured bacterium
Lineage: Bacteria
Description: partial 16S ribosomal RNA
Rfam family: Bacterial small subunit ribosomal RNA
Source: RNAcentral
UACGUAGGGGGCUAGCGUUGUCCGGAUUUAUUGGGCGUAAAGAGCGUGUAGGCGGCCGACUAAGUCCGACGUGAAAUCUGGAGGCUCAACCUCCAGCGGUCGUUGGAAACUAGUCGGCUAGAGUCCGGAAGAGGAGAGUGGAAUUCCUGGUGUAGCGGUGAAAUGCGCAGAUAUCAGGAAGAACACCUAUGGCGAAGGCAGCUCGCUGGGACGUUACUGACGCUGAGACGCGAAAGCGUGGGGAGCAAACAGG